UGGGGAAUAUUGGACAAUGGGCGAAAGCCUGAUCCAGCAAUGCCGCGUGCAGGAAGAAGGCCUUCGGGUUGUAAACUGCUUUUGUACGGAACGAAAAGGCUCUUUCUAAUAAAGGGGGCUCAUGACGGUACCGUAAGAAUAAGCACCGGCUAACUACGUGCCAGCAGCCGCGGUAAUACGUAGGGUGCGAGCGUUAAUCGGAAUUACUGGGCGUAAAGCGUGCGCAGGCGGUUCUAUAAGACAGAUGUGAAAUCCCCGGGCUCAACCUGGGAAUGGCAUUUGUGACUGUAGAGCUAGAGUACGGUAGAGGGGGAUGGAAUUCCGCGUGUAGCAGUGAAAUGCGUAGAUAUGCGGAGGAACACCGAUGGCGAAGGCAAUCCCCUGGACCUGUACUGACGCUCAUGCACGAAAGCGUGGGGAGCAAACAGGAUUAGAUACCCCGGUAGUCCCUGAGCGGGCUGGCAAGGCGCAU
This 472-nucleotide ribosomal RNA is filed under the name uncultured bacterium. RNAcentral describes it as "bacterial SSU rRNA". It matches the Rfam family "Bacterial small subunit ribosomal RNA", at positions 355 to 825 of the family's 1533-position model. The record is from RNAcentral.